Molecule: long non-coding RNA, 1117 nt
Organism: Podarcis raffonei (Aeolian wall lizard)
Lineage: Eukaryota; Metazoa; Chordata; Lepidosauria; Squamata; Lacertidae
Exons: 3
Source: RefSeq, a predicted model, not a curated record
GGGAACACAAAGUUUCAUUCCUGGGGCUAAAACUAGGAGGGGAGUGCUCAGAAUAUGGAAACCUUUGAAUGAAUGAGAACACGGAAAAAUGCAGGACAAUCACUUAAGAAUCCUCAGAAGAAGACCUGGAUGGUUUGAGGCUUGCAGACUGCCUCAUAGGAACCUAAGAAACUUCCUUAUACAGAAUCAGAUCAUUGGUCCAUCUAGGCAACCUCUGUACCUCCCCCAAAUCUGCUCUGGAAAACUGGGAGACCCCCCAGAACAGGAGGAGGGGGAGAUAUAUAUUUCAAUCAGAAAGUGAAGACAGGUUGGAAGCCAUGAUUCUGACAACAGCUGUUACAAAGGCGGAAAAAUGGAAAUGGGGAACCUUGCAUCUCAAAGAAACUGUUUUCAGCUGAGCGAGUCUCUGUGGGGAGGUCGAGGUGCGUUGGCCAUUAUAAUCCAGGCAGCGCAUUAGUACUCGAGCUUUUGAAUGACAAGAUUCUGAGAUCCGCAGCCCUUUGAGAUCAUCAGUCUUCAGAGAAACAAAGAACUUCUGCUGACUUUUAUUCUCAGAUGCUAACAUUUGUGCUACCAGAAUCCACACACAACACAAGCUGUGCUGCCCUGUUCAGUAAUUUUGGUCAUGAAUGAUGUCUCCGUUGCAGAUCAGCGGGAUACAUACACCGAGGAGAACACCAGGCUUCUGAAAGCUAAGUAGGGAAUUGUUGACUCGGUCUCUGCUGAUGAUCAUCUCAUUGCUCCAGGCUCCUAGUCUUUCCAUUCGCUUUCUUUCCCACAACAGAGUUCAUUUCAUUUCUAACGUAUCCAGAGGGCAGGUUUGUCCUCAAGGUUGACAGUCACACAUAUAAUAAAUAAUAUGCUUUCCGUUGCCAUUUUUUUAAAAAAAGAAAUGUAUUUAAUGCAGCCAUUAAAUGUGUAUUUCUGUUAACUUCACCAAGAUUAUAACACCAGAUGUGUUAGAGGGAACUUUAGCAUGACUUAAUGCUUACAGUAACUUGGGCUGAAUAAUUUACUACUGUAAAUAACAGCAUAGCUUUGUGAAGGGAGUGCUUGCAUUUUGGAAGUGAAUGAAUGAAACACACAUGCAGUGAAUAAAGAUCAUUAUGGAACAGGA